Molecule: ribosomal RNA, 489 nt
Filed under: uncultured delta proteobacterium
Lineage: Bacteria; Deltaproteobacteria
Description: bacterial SSU rRNA
Rfam family: Bacterial small subunit ribosomal RNA
Source: RNAcentral
CAGAAACUUUAAAGGAAGUUGACGGGGCCCGCACAAGCGGUGGAGCGUGUGGUUUAAUUCGACGCAACGCGAAGAACCUUACCUGGGCUAGACAACGGUGGACAUCCCCAGAGAUGGGGCUUUCCCUUCGGGGACUGCCGGUUCAGGUGCUGCAUGGCUGUCGUCAGCUCGUGUCGUGAGAUGUUGGGUUAAGUCCCGCAACGAGCGCAACCCUUGUCCUUAGUUGCCAGCAUUCAGUUGGGCACUCUAAGGAGACUGCCGGUGUCAAACCGGAGGAAGGUGGGGAUGACGUCAAGUCCUCAUGGCCCUUAUGUCCAGGGCUACACACGUGCUACAAUGGCCGGUACAAAGGGGCGCAAGACCGCGAGGUGGAGCAAAUCCCAAAAAACCGGUCUCAGUUCGGAUUGGAGUCUGCAACUCGACUCCAUGAAGUUGGAAUCGCUAGUAAUCGCGUAUCAGCAUGACGCGGUGAAUACGUUCCCGGGCCUU